Molecule: non-coding RNA, 533 nt
Organism: Danio rerio (zebrafish)
Lineage: Eukaryota; Metazoa; Chordata; Actinopteri; Cypriniformes; Danionidae
Source: Ensembl
CGAGGACAUCGCGUGAGCCCUUCGCUGUGCUCUGCUCUGCUCCGUGAAUACGUCAGCUGUGUUGAUGCUGGUGCUGAAACUGCUCGGCCACGUCCAGCGAAGCUUCUUCAGCCGUUCCCCGAUGCAAACAGGUGCAGAGUGUCCGCUGACCGCUGAAUAAACCUUCAGUCACAUGCUGACAUUGAUCAUCCAUGGCGUUGUCAACACUCAGAGGAUUUCCUCAUCAGGAGAGCUGCGUCCAGCUUACAUUUCUUCCUACCCUACAUUUGGCCGCAUCGCGCUGUUAUUUCGCCGUAAUUCUCUGUUCUGUUUCGUCAGUAACUUGUGCUCAGUAAGUUGUAUGCGCCAUCUGUCUCAUCCUGACUGGAAAAUUACGCAACGUGCGGUGCAUAAUUCAUAGAUGUGCUGAAGGGAACCAAUCAGAGCGAAUGCGCAAAGAGCUCGCGGACAAAAAAGAGGGAAAUUCAGUACAGGGUCACACGAUGUACCACCAGUUUAUACUUAAACAUCACUGAAGGGCUCAGCAUCCUCAA